RNAcentral lists this ribosomal RNA (467 nucleotides) under uncultured bacterium. RNAcentral describes it as "partial 16S ribosomal RNA". It matches the Rfam family "Bacterial small subunit ribosomal RNA", at positions 28 to 507 of the family's 1533-position model. The record is from RNAcentral.
GACGAACGCUGGCGGCGUGCUUAACACAUGCAAGUCGAACGGAAAGGCCCUGCUUUUGUGGGGUGCUCGAGUGGCGAACGGGUGAGUAACACGUGAGUAACCUGCCCUUGACUUUGGGAUAACUUCAGGAAACUGGGGCUAAUACCGGAUAGGAGCUCCUGCUGCAUGGUGGGGGUUGGAAAGUUUCGGCGGUUGGGGAUGGACUCGCGGCUUAUCAGCUUGUUGGUGGGGUAGUGGCUUACCAAGGCUUUGACGGGUAGCCGGCCUGAGAGGGUGACCGGCAAAAUGGGGACUGAGAUACGGCCCAGACUCCUCCGGGAGGAAGCAGGGGGGAAUAUUGCACAAGGGGCGGAAGCCUGAUGCAGAACCGCCGCGUGCGGGAGGACGGCCUUCGGGUUGUAAACCGCUUUCGCCUGUGACGAAGCGGGAGUGACGGUAAUGGGUAAAGAAGCCCGGCUAACUACGUG